UACGAAGGGUGCAAGCGUUACUCGGAAUUACUGGGCGUAAAGCGUGCGUAGGUGGUUCGUUAAGUCUGAUGUGAAAGCCCUGGGCUCAACCUGGGAAUGGCAUUGGAAACUGGCGACCUAGAGUGCGGUAGAGGGUAGUGGAAUUCCCGGCGUAGCAGUGAAAUGCGUAGAGAUGCGGAGGAACACCGAUGGCGAAGGCAGCCCCCUGGGCUAACACUGACGCUCAGGCACGAAAGCGUGGGGAGCAAACAGG
RNAcentral lists this ribosomal RNA (253 nucleotides) under uncultured bacterium. RNAcentral describes it as "partial 16S ribosomal RNA". It matches the Rfam family "Bacterial small subunit ribosomal RNA", at positions 524 to 776 of the family's 1533-position model. The record is from RNAcentral.